This 501-nucleotide ribosomal RNA is filed under the name uncultured bacterium. RNAcentral's name for it is "partial 16S ribosomal RNA". It matches the Rfam family "Bacterial small subunit ribosomal RNA", at positions 30 to 523 of the family's 1533-position model. The record is from RNAcentral.
AUUGAACGCUGGCGGCAGGCUUAACACAUGCAAGUCGAGCGGGGGAAGGUAGCUUGCUACCGGACCUAGCGGCGGACGGGUGAGUAAUGAUUAGGAAUCUGCCUAUUAGUGGGGGACAACAUCGCGAAAGGGAUGCUAAUACCGCAUAAGUCCUACGGGAGAAAGCAGGGGAUCUUCGGACCUUGCGCUAAUAGAUGAGCCUAAGUCGGAUUAGCUAGUUGGUGGGGUAAAGGCCUACCAAGGCGACGAUCUGUAGCGGGUCGGAGCGGAUGAUCCGCCACACGGGUGCUGAGACACGUCCCAGACUCCGACGGGAGGCAGCAGUGGGGAAUAUUGGACAAUGGUGGGAACCCUGAUCCAGCCAUGCCGCGUGUGUGAAGAAGGCCUUAUGGUUGUAAAGAACUUUAAGCGAGGAGGAGGCUACUCUAGUUAAUACCUAGAGAUAGUGGACGUUACUCGCAGAAUAAGCACCGGCUAACUCUGUGCCAGCCGCCGCCGUAA